UAAAGAAUUUCGGUCAUCGAUGGGGAUGCGUUCCAUUAGCUUGUUGGCGGGGUAACGGCCCACCAAGGCAUCGAUGGAUAGGGGUUCUGAGAGGAAGGUCCCCCACAUUGGAACUGAGACACGGUCCAAACUCCUACGGGAGGCAGCAGUGAGGAAUAUUGGUCAAUGGGCGCUAGCCUGAACCAGCCAAGUAGCGUGAAGGAUGACUGCCCUAUGGGUUGUAAACUUCUUUUAUAUGGGAAUAAGGUGCAGUAUGUAUACUGCUUUGCAUGUACCUUAUGAAUAAGGAUCGGCUAACUCCGUGCCAGCAGCCGCGGUAAUACGGAGGAUCCGAGCGUUAUCCGGAUUUAUUGGGUUUAAAGGGAGCGUAGGCGGGUUGUUAAGUCAGUUGUGAAAGUUUGCGGCUCAACCGUAAAAUUGCAGUUGAUACUGGCAUCCUUGAGUACAGUAGAGGUAGGCGGAAUUCGCGGUGUAGCGGUGAAAUGCUUAGAUAUCACGAAGAACUCCGAUUGCGAAGGCAACCUGCUGGACUGUAACUGACGCUGAUGCUCGAAAGUGUGGGUAUCAAACAGGAUUAGAUACCCUGGUAGUCCACACAGUAAACGAUGAAUACUCGCUGUUUGCGAUAUACAGUAA
RNAcentral lists this ribosomal RNA (636 nucleotides) under uncultured bacterium. Its description in RNAcentral is "bacterial SSU rRNA". It matches the Rfam family "Bacterial small subunit ribosomal RNA", at positions 202 to 842 of the family's 1533-position model. The record is from RNAcentral.